This is a long non-coding RNA of Branchiostoma floridae (Florida lancelet), 247 nucleotides long. RefSeq lists it as uncharacterized. The transcript is spliced from 3 exons. The record is from RefSeq and is a predicted model, not a curated record. Lineage: Eukaryota; Metazoa; Chordata; Leptocardii; Amphioxiformes; Branchiostomatidae.
UCCGAGAAGUAGAAGCGCCAAAGGUCACGUGGGCGAUGACGUACUUGAUGACGCACUUCCGGACGAUGACCCGCUCGACUACCUUGCAAAGUACUGCAUUGUUCGGCCGAACCGUUUGCCGACGUACGAGGCCGUCUUCACCUGGUACGCGAAAGGACCACAGGAAGAUGAUGAGGUCUCCGCAGGACGGACCGCCUUUAACCAAUCUAAGAAAUUGAGAUCUUCGUCUUCAAGUUUAAAAAGCGAC